CAAUAGCGUAUAUUAAAGUUGUUGCAGUUAAAAAGCUCGUAGUUGGAUUUCUGGGAGGGUGCCGCCGUCCGGCGUGUCCGUGUGCAGUGGCGCCCUUCCAUCCUUCUGUUAGCGUCUCUUGGCAUUCAUUUGCUGGUGGCGGGCUCAGAUAUUUUACCUUGAGAAAAUUAGAGUGUUUCAGGCAGGCUAGGCCGGAAUACAUUAGCAUGGAAUAAUGGAAUAGGACUACGGUCUCUUUGUUGGUUUGAGGGACUGCAGUAAUGAUUAAUAGGGAUAGUUGGGGGCACUAGUAUUUAAUUGUCAGAGGUGGAAUUCUCAGAUUUGUUAAAGACUAACUUAUGCGAAAGCAUUUGCCAAGGAUGUUUUCAUUAA
This 372-nucleotide ribosomal RNA is filed under the name uncultured eukaryote. RNAcentral describes it as "partial 18S ribosomal RNA". It matches the Rfam family "Eukaryotic small subunit ribosomal RNA", at positions 592 to 976 of the family's 1831-position model. The record is from RNAcentral.